RNAcentral lists this non-coding RNA (147 nucleotides) under Candidatus Nomuraibacteriota. The record is from RNAcentral.
GGUAAGUAUAUACUAAGUGAGUUCCUUUUUAAAAAUAUAAGAAAUGAUUUGGGGAAACUGGUUAGAUUCCAGUGCAGUGCCGCUACGGUAAGCUCCGACGAAAGUUCGGAGACAAGCCCGACUACCAAUCAUUUUGUGUGUCCCGAG